RNAcentral lists this long non-coding RNA (545 nucleotides) under Lathyrus oleraceus (garden pea). Its description in RNAcentral is "Pisum sativum (pea) long non-coding RNA (PSAT_LNC000657)". Lineage: Eukaryota; Viridiplantae; Streptophyta; Magnoliopsida; Fabales; Fabaceae. The record is from RNAcentral.
AAACCAAACCGAAACCGCAAAAAACCGCAUUUGGUUUGGAUUCGUUUGGGUCAUUUUUUAAUAAAACCGCACGGUUUGGUUUGGUUUGCGGUUUGUAUUUUGCAAACCGAACUAAACCAAACCAAACCGCAUUAUGUUACAACCCAAAUUUUACUUAUCCCACAUCCAACCAAAACAUCAAACCUAGUAUGCCUUAACCUUACAAUUACAAACGAUUUUCUCUUACUCACGCUUAGGGUUUCAAUUUCAACCUUCUUAAAUCUCUCAUAGUAGUAUCACACAUUCUUCUCGUCUUCUUUUCCAUGUAGGUUUCGCCUAUUCUACUCUAAUAAGUCAUCUCUUAUGUUCUUUCUUUUUCAUCUUUUAUGUUACUAUUUUCUCUUUUAAUUAUAUUUUUAUCGCACCUUUCUUCUCAAUCUCGCAUCUCUUAUGUUCUUUUUUUCAUCUUCUCUAAUCUCUCAUCUCAUAUGUUUUUUAUGUUUUAUUAUAAUGUCUUCGAUAUUAUUUUAUGCUACUAUUUAUAUAUGUUUUUUAUUCCAUUUUUG